This 497-nucleotide ribosomal RNA is filed under the name uncultured bacterium. Its description in RNAcentral is "partial 16S ribosomal RNA". It matches the Rfam family "Bacterial small subunit ribosomal RNA", at positions 28 to 507 of the family's 1533-position model. The record is from RNAcentral.
GAUGAACGCUGGCGGCGUGCCUAAUACAUGCAAGUCGAGCGAACAGAUGAGGAGCUUGCUCCUCUGACGUUAGCGGCGGACGGGUGAGUAACACGUGGAUAACCUACCUAUAAGACUGGGAUAACUUCGGGAAACCGGAGCUAAUACCGGAUAAUAUAUUGAACCGCAUGGUUCAAUAGUGAAAGACGGUUUUGCUGUCACUUAUAGAUGGAUCCGCGCCGCAUUAGCUAGUUGGUAAGGUAACGGCUUACCAAGGCAACGAUGCGUAGCCGACCUGAGAGGGUGAUCGGCCACACUGGAACUGAAACACGGUCCAGACUCCUACGGGAGGCAGCAGUAGGGAAUCUUCCGCAAUGGGCGAAAGCCUGACGGAGCAACGCCGCGUGAGUGAUGAGGGUCUUCGGAUCGUAAAACUCUGUUAUUAGGGAAGAACAAAUGUGUAAGUAACUAUGCACGUCUUGACGGUACCUAAUCAGAAAGCCACGGCUAACUACGUG